Molecule: transfer RNA, 61 nt
Filed under: Vibrio cholerae HC-55B2
Lineage: Bacteria; Pseudomonadati; Pseudomonadota; Gammaproteobacteria; Vibrionales; Vibrionaceae
Also listed under: 1 other name
Description: partial tRNA-OTHER
Rfam family: tRNA
About the family: Transfer RNA (tRNA) molecules are approximately 80 nucleotides in length. Their secondary structure includes four short double-helical elements and three loops (D, anti-codon, and T loops).
Source: RNAcentral
GGCUACGUAGCUCAGUUGGUUAGAGCACAUCACUCAUAAUGAUGGGGUCACAGGUUCAAAU